UACGGGAGGCAGCAGUGGGGAAUAUUGCACAAUGGGCGCAAGCCUGAUGCAGCCAUGCCGCGUGUAUGAAGAAGGCCUUCGGGUUGUAAAGUACUUUCAGCGGGGAGGAAGGCGGUGAAGUUAAUAGCUUCACCGAUUGACGUUACCCGCAGAAGAAGCACCGGCUAACUCCGUGCCAGCAGCCGCGGUAAUACGGAGGGUGCAAGCGUUAAUCGGAAUUACUGGGCGUAAAGCGCACGCAGGCGGUCUGUCAAGUCGGAUGUGAAAUCCCCGGGCUUAACCUGGGAACUGCAUUCGAAACUGGCAGGCUAGAGUCUUGUAGAGGGGGUAGAAUUCCAGGUGUAGCGGUGAAAUGCGUAGAGAUCUGGAGGAAUACCGGUGGCGAAGGCGGCCCCUGGGACAAAGCUGACGCUCAGGUGCGAAAGCGUGGGGAGCAAACAGGGAUUAGGAUACC
Molecule: ribosomal RNA, 454 nt
Filed under: uncultured bacterium
Lineage: Bacteria
Description: bacterial SSU rRNA
Rfam family: Bacterial small subunit ribosomal RNA
Source: RNAcentral